AUGUUUUUCUGUCUUCUUUUGUGGAUUCCAACUGAAUUGUCAUCUUUCCCGCCUUCCGCGCGGUUUCUUGGCUCAAGAUAUUAUGAUUCCCCUAGUAGUCUGACUGCUCUUUCUCUCAAGCGAAGUGCUUCUCGGGACAAAGGGCAAAAGGGAAGAGAGAAGACUAUAAACAAUAAAUCUAGGAGGUUUGAAGAUGCUCGAGCAAAGCGAAGAGGUAUAACUCCUCUGUUAUCUCCUUGUUCUAACCCUGUUGCUUCCUUUGCUUCGCCUGGAACUACCUUGCUAACACCUUCUUACAGUCUUGCUGAGCUUAGGAAGUGA
RNAcentral lists this long non-coding RNA (321 nucleotides) under Vicia faba (fava bean). The record is from RNAcentral. Lineage: Eukaryota; Viridiplantae; Streptophyta; Magnoliopsida; Fabales; Fabaceae.